This 370-nucleotide ribosomal RNA is filed under the name uncultured bacterium. RNAcentral's name for it is "bacterial SSU rRNA". It matches the Rfam family "Bacterial small subunit ribosomal RNA", at positions 28 to 399 of the family's 1533-position model. The record is from RNAcentral.
GACGAACGCUGGCGGCGUGCUUAACACAUGCAAGUCGAGCGGUAAGGCCCUUUCGGGGGUACACGAGCGGCGAACGGGUGAGUAACACGUGGGUGACCUGCCCUCAGCUCUGGGAUAAGCCUGGGAAACCGGGUCUAAUACCGGAUAUGACUCCAUGACGCAUGUUGUGGGGUGGAAAGCCUUGUGCGGCUGAGGAUGGGCCCGCGGCCUAUCAGCUUGUUGGUGGGGUGAUGGCCUACCAAGGCGACGACGGGUAGCCGGCCUGAGAGGGCGACCGGCCACACUGGGACUGAGACACGGCCCAGACUCCUACGGGAGGCAGCAGUGGGGAAUCUUGCGCAAUGGGCGAAAGCCUGACGCAGCGACGCCG